AGAGUUGGGACUCACUGGUAGAACAUCUGCUUUGCAUGCAAAAGGUCCCAGGUUCAAUCCCUGCCAUUUCCA
This 72-nucleotide transfer RNA is filed under the name Podarcis lilfordi (Lilford's wall lizard). RNAcentral's name for it is "tRNA.Ala". Lineage: Eukaryota; Metazoa; Chordata; Lepidosauria; Squamata; Lacertidae. The record is from RNAcentral.